RNAcentral lists this ribosomal RNA (158 nucleotides) under Metarhizium anisopliae. Its description in RNAcentral is "5.8S ribosomal RNA". It matches the Rfam family "5.8S ribosomal RNA". From Rfam's summary of the family: 5.8S ribosomal RNA (5.8S rRNA) is a component of the large subunit of the eukaryotic ribosome. It is transcribed by RNA polymerase I as part of the 45S precursor that also contains 18S and 28S rRNA. RNAcentral also lists the same sequence under 1 other name. The record is from RNAcentral. Lineage: Eukaryota; Fungi; Ascomycota; Sordariomycetes; Hypocreales; Clavicipitaceae.
CAACAACGGAUCUCUUGGUUCUGGCAUCGAUGAAGAACGCAGCGAAAUGCGAUAAGUAAUGUGAAUUGCAGAAUUCAGUGAAUCAUCGAAUCUUUGAACGCACAUUGCGCCCGUCAGUAUUCUGGCGGGCAUGCCUGUUCGAGCGUCAUUACGCCCCU